UUAUGGCUCAGGAUGAACGCUAGCUACAGGCUUAACACAUGCAAGUCGAGGGGCAGCAUGAUCUAGCUGCUAGAAUGAUGGCGACCGGCGCACGGGUGAGUAACCGCGUAUCCAACCUUCCCUAUAGUAGAGGAUAGCCCGGCGAAAGUCGGAUUAAUACUCUAUGUUGUUCAAUGCGGACAUCUAAGUUGAACCAAAGGUUUACCGCUAUAGGAUGGGGAUGCGUCUGAUUAGAUGGUAGGCGGGGUAACGGCCCACCUAGUCGACGAUCAGUAGGGGUUCUGAGAGGAAGGUCCCCCACAUUGGAACUGAGACACGGUCCAAACUCCUACGGGAGGCAGCAGUGAGGAAUAUCGGUCAAUGGGCGAGAGCCUGAACCAGCCAAAGUAGCGUGCAGGAUGACGGCCCUAUGGGUUGUAAACUGCUUUUAUACGGGGAUAAGGUGAGGGACGUGUCCCUUUUUGUAGGUACCGUAUGAAUAAGGACCGGCUAAUUCCGUGCCAGCAGCCGC
This 511-nucleotide ribosomal RNA is filed under the name uncultured bacterium. Its description in RNAcentral is "bacterial SSU rRNA". It matches the Rfam family "Bacterial small subunit ribosomal RNA", at positions 17 to 518 of the family's 1533-position model. The record is from RNAcentral.